RNAcentral lists this ribosomal RNA (390 nucleotides) under uncultured bacterium. RNAcentral describes it as "bacterial SSU rRNA". It matches the Rfam family "Bacterial small subunit ribosomal RNA", at positions 527 to 916 of the family's 1533-position model. The record is from RNAcentral.
GUAGGGGGCAAGCGUUAUCCGGAUUUACUGGGUGUAAAGGGAGCGUAGACGGCGCUGCAAGUCUGAAGUGAAAGCCCGGGGCUCAACCCCGGGACUGCUUUGGAAACUGUAAUGCUAGAGUGCUGGAGAGGUAAGUGGAAUUCCUAGUGUAGCGGUGAAAUGCGUAGAUAUUGGGAGGAACACCAGUGGCGAAGGCGGCUUACUGGACAGUAACUGACGUUGAGGCUCGAAAGCGUGGGGAGCAAACAGGAUUAGAUACCCUGGUAGUCCACGCGGUAAACGAUGAAUGCUAGGUGUUGGGGAGCAAAGCUCUUCGGUGCCGUCGCAAACGCAAUAAGCAUUCCACCUGGGGAGUACGUUCGCAAGAAUGAAACUCAAAGGAAUUGACGG